GGGCCCGCACAAGCGGUGGAGCAUGUGGUUUAAUUCGAUGCAACGCGAAGAACCUUACCUACUCUUGACAUCCAGAGAACUUUUCAGAGAUGAAUUGGUGCCUUCGGGAACUCUGAGACAGGUGCUGCAUGGCUGUCGUCAGCUCGUGUUGUGAAAAUGUUGGGUUAAGUCCCGCAACGAGCGCAACCCUUAUCCUUGUUUGCCAGCGAGUAAUGUCGGGAACUCCAGGGAGACUGCCGGUGAUAAACCGGAGGAAGGUGGGGACGACGUCAAGUCAUCAUGGCCCUUACGAGUAGGGCUACACACGUGCUACAAUGGCGCAUACAGAGGGCAGCCAACUUGCGAGAGUGAG
RNAcentral lists this ribosomal RNA (352 nucleotides) under uncultured bacterium. Its description in RNAcentral is "bacterial SSU rRNA". It matches the Rfam family "Bacterial small subunit ribosomal RNA", at positions 917 to 1267 of the family's 1533-position model. The record is from RNAcentral.